AUCUCGCAGUUUGUGGGUUUCGAGCCCCACGUCGGGCUCUGUGCUGACGGCUCGGAGCCUGGAGACUGUUUCAGAUUCUGUGUCUCCCUCUCUCUCUCUCUGCUCCUCCCCUGCUUGUGCUCUGUUUCUCUCUUAAAAAUAAAUAAAUUACAAGAAAACAAAACAAAACUACAUUGUUUAAAAAAAAAAAAAACUGGACCCUCCCUGAUUUAGGUUGCAUGCUUAGAUGUCGGCACUGUGAUCGUAAAAUCUGAGGCUCUAAGCAAAAUUUUGGAAAGCCUGUUUCAUGGUUCUCCUUCUUCAGGGUUUUCCACCUUUUCUGCCCUUGUUUUUUUUUUUUUUCCCCCUACCUUCGAAAGAGGGUAAAAUGUGGGAAGCAAGUUUGUGGGAAAGGAGGUCAACAAAAGUUCUGAGCCACAGAUGUGAUGUGUCUCCAUUGGCAUUGGUCCAGGAUGCUCUGGUUUAUUCCUUAGUCCCUGUGUGUGGACACCCCAUGUGUGUAAGUUAUAAAGGGACAACCUGGACCUCUGAUCUCUCCCUGUGUACAUACCCAUAUACACACACAUAUGUGUCCCCAUAUGUAUAUGCACCUACCUACAUACAUACAUACAUAUGUCUGUGUACAAACGCACUUGAAGUUACCAGAUAAAAUUCCUCAUGACAGUUUAGAACUUUCUUGAUGAAUUUAUGCUAAGAUGUGUUACAUAUGCCACACUUAGGUUGCAUGUAUGCCCCACACGUCUCUCGCCAUACUAUUCCACCCCCCAGUGACCCAUGCAGAUAGAAGGAUGGUUUUGUUGGUGAUUAUCUGGAAACUUGCACUUCCUAUUGGCUUCCCUUGCUUACAGCGGUAGGAGACCGCCACCCAAGGGCUAAAGACACAAAACCGUCACUCCUAAAAAAUCGGCCUUUCCUUCUCCCAGUGCAGCUGUUCUUUCCUGGCUGCCAUCACUGGACUCUUGUUUUCUUUUAAAUACUCCCUGGAAGGCAGGACUUAUCAGGGUCUUCAAGAAGGGAAAAACCAACAGCUGCAAAAGUCACUGUGAAUGUUUGAUGGUGGGGGGAAGAAGUGGAGACAAAAACUGACUGGAGGUGAGGCUUUCCCGCCCCAUCACACACUGUCUCUGAGGUCACCAGCUGGAAUGCUGGCUUGCUAAGAUCAGGUUCUCAGAAGCUUUAAUUGUUUAACAUGGUGGCUAACGUUGGCGAGCACUUAGUAGGGGGCAGGUCCUGUUGUGAGCAGGGUUAGCUCAUUUUCUCCUCCUGUGACCACGUGAGGUCUGUACUGUUAUUGUCUCCAUUUUAAUGGAGGCACAGGGAGGUUAAAUCACGCGGCUCGUCAUUUUGAGCCAGCUCUCAGAGCCUGCAUGUUCACAGCUUUCCCAGGCCGCUUUAAAACAAAAGGUAUGUUGUAGGGGCCAUCAGUGAGCUAAGAUGCCACAUCUUUCUAGUGGUCUGGAAGUGGAGUAUUAAAAAUGUUAUUGUCGGGGCGUCUUUGUAUGUUAAUUUGUGGGUGCCACUUUUACGCACGGCCCCAUUAUCUUGUGGAAUUAAAACCCUCGUGUUAUGUUUCUUCAAGUAUGAAGAAAAUUACAUAGGUAUCAUCUAUAUGAUAUAUAUACUAUAUAUAGAUAUAUUUAUCUGUCCAUAGGAAAACCUUAGAUUGCGAGUGACUUGUUCUGCGAGCGUUCCACAAGACGACCAAACAUUUCUAAUAAAUUGUAACUUGAUCAAUGAGUGACGUCUUGCCGUACGAGUAGUACGUGAUGCCCGGUGUCCCAUGAUCCCAACAGAGCCGAUGGUUCUUGAAAUCCGCUCUGAUGGACGAGUGCUUCGGUUUACAAGCAUGUUUCUGGAACGAAUUAUGCCCGCAGCCGAGGUUUCACCGUAUGUAUUGUAUGCAUCUAGUACCCAGGAGAGACUUGCCUCUUCCAGCUGCCCCCUCCUGCAAUCUGUAGUGCUAUCAAAUUCAUAGUACCAGAGGCUUAACCACCGAGAGCUCCGAUAAGCAGACGUGUGUGGGCCUCUCUGUUUCUUCUCUAUGGAAAGAGUGUCAGGUUGGACCCUGCUAUUGUUACGGUCCAUUAUUUGAGGAAUGAAAUAAGAAGGGAAAUAAAGAGCAAGUUUAUAAUGGACUCGGUUCACAUGUGACAGGCAUGAGAGUCCAGCCACACCUGCAUUGUCCGGUGACCUUGAUUCUUGUGUCUCCUUGCCGUCCUUAUAAGAUACUAGAGAAACCGCAGGAAGCAUGAGGAAAAUCUAGCUGUUCUAUGAACUGAAGACUGGAUGUUUCCACAAGUUACCACAUGACUUACCUUCUGUAGCCACUUGAGCUCUUUCUUUUUCCUGUGAGCGUUUUCAAUGUUCUGUGGGGAUCAGAACGUGAAUUUGGGAGGCAGCGUGUCUGUGUCUUGCUGGGAAAAAGGCAAGGGGGCCGGCACACUGUUUAUAAACAUUCACAGCUCUUACCUUUCGUAAACAACAAACAAAAUAUUUUUGGACCACACUCCAUGAUUUCCCUGCCAAAAACGUUUGGAGGCAGCAAUGCUUUAUUUACUCACUGCCCCUGCUGUAGUACGGCUCACCACUCUCCAGGACAGGUGCCUGAAAGAUUCCUGGUGGCCAAACGCUUUCUCUCAGCAUUAGUCACCUUGAACUUCCCUGGUGGAGAUGGGACCGUCUAUUUAGGCCUCAAAACCCAGUGUAUGUCUUAUACACAGGACAUCUCAGUGUGGACUGGCCACGUUUCAUGUGCCCACUAGCCACAUGAGAUGGGUCGUAUGGGAUAGUGCAGCUCUACGCAGAGAUUAUCUCACUCUCCAGCCUGGUUUCCUUUGCUUCCCACGCUCCUCCCACUGCCCAGACGUGAAUGCCUCAGGAGUCUGGUCUUCCCUCAUCCGCACACUCUUUCUCCCCUUUGACCAUCUCAUCUGCUGCCGGCCCCCGGCACACAGCAUCGAGGAUGCUACCUCAGUGGGCCAGGGUGCUCCGUUGUUACCUCCAGUUCGGCUUGUCCAAAGUCAAAAGCUGGCUUCUCUCCUUUCGUCUGUUUUCCUGGCCUCUAAUGUUGCCUCUGAUUUUAUAAAGCAGUAAGAGAACAAUCAGGCCAUGUAAGCAGACUGAAUACUCAGAACCUGAGGGCUGAGGGCAUCGUGGAAAUUGAAUGGCACUUACAAGAAAGCCCAACAUACUGAAUGACGUGCAUAAUUCUUACGGGCAGCAAGGUGACGACGUAUAUAUAGCCAUUCGCGAACAUUAAGGUGGUGAUUGCUUUUAUUCAUGGGCAGAGCAAGCAUGUUGGGAGCAAAUGGGCAAGCGGGGGAGGGAGUGGCUCACGACCCUCUUUUUGGAACCUCCUUGCUGCCGGUGGAGUGGGGAGGGGAGUCGUGGUUGAUGCCCUGCUUUCGUCAGUCCACGUCCUGGGAGCUGGUCUCGCCAUUUUUGGUCACCCUUCGCAGUUUUAGUGCUUAGGGACUAGUGUUUUGCUUUUCAUCAGGCACUUCCGGGAUGAAAGAAAAUUAAGAGCCGAUCUGGGGUUCAUGAUAAGGUGAAAUUAAGUGCUGGCUUCACCUGCUGCACCCACUCAGGAGGCCGGGGCUGACUUGCUCACGGACCCUGACCUCUGAGAGCCCGGAAUAACCUUGUCACCGGAGCUGUAGCCUCAAAUGCUGAAUAGUGACAGGAGAGCUCGGGGUUCAUGUGGCCUUUUUAUUACUCUGUAUUUUAAAAGUAGGUAUUUCCCUGAGUUAUCUUUCAGUCAAAACUAUUCAAGGGUGCUAUUGUCAUUUUGAGCAUGAUUUGUAAAAUUUGAAGGGAAAUCUUAGUUUCUCUACAAGCUUGUGUAGUAGAGAACAUCUAAUUCAUACCAUUUUUUAAAAAAGUUUAUUUUUGAGAAAGUGUGCAUGCUCAUGGGGAAGGGGGGGGGAGAGAGAGAGAGAGAGAGAGAGAGAGAGAGAGAAUCCCAAGCAGGCUCCACACUUCCAGUGCAGAGCCCGAUGUGGGGCUUGAACCCAUGAACCGCGAGAUCAUGACCUGAGCCAAAACCAAGAGUUAGAUGCCCAACCGGGUAAGCCACCCAGGUGCCCCUAUAGCAGUGUAAUAGUGAGCUCUAGGCCUGUUUGAAUACUGUUUACAGUGGCAUUUCCACCCCCUCCUCAUGUAACUAUUUU
Molecule: long non-coding RNA, 4169 nt
Organism: Neofelis nebulosa (Clouded leopard)
Lineage: Eukaryota; Metazoa; Chordata; Mammalia; Carnivora; Felidae
Exons: 2
Source: RefSeq, a predicted model, not a curated record